AGAGUUUGAUCCUGGCUCAGGAUGAACGCUAGCGGUAGGCAUAACACAUGCAAGUCGAGGGGCAGCUGGUUUGGUAGCAAUACUGAAUGUCAGGCGACCGGCGGAUGGGUGAGUAACGCGUACGCAACCUACCUUGUACAGUGGGAUAGACACUGGAAACGGUGCGUAAUACCACGUAAUAAUAUAGAUAGGCAUCUAUUUAUAUGGGAAGGGUACGUAAGUAUUGGUAUAAGAUGGGCGUGCGUAGGAUUAGAUAGAUGGUGGGGUAACGGCUUACCAUGUCGACGAUCUUUAGGGGUUCUGAGAGGAAGGUCCCCCACAUUGCAACUGAGAACGGUGCAAACUCCUACGGGAGGCAGCAGUGAGGAAUAUUGGUCAAUGGGCGGAAGCUUGAACCAGCCAUACCGCGUGCAGGAAGGCGGCCUUAUGGGUUGUAAACUGCUUUUAUAAUGGGAUAGUGAUUAUAUCGUGCAUAUGAUAGGGAAGGUACAUUAUGAAUAAGUAUCGGCUAACUCCGUGCCAGCAGCCGCGAUAAUACGGAGGAUACGAGCGUUGUCCGGAUUUAUUGGGUUUAAAGGGUGCGUAGGCGGUUGAUUAGGUCUAUGGUGAAAUGGUUGUGCUCAACACAAUUUAGCUGUAGAAACCGGUCGGCUAGAAUAUAAGUGGCGUAGGCGGAAUAAAGCGUGUAGAGGUGACAUUCAUAGAUAUGCUUUAGAACACCGUUCGCGAAGGCGGCUUACGAAGGUAAAAUUGACGCUAAUGCACGAGAGCGUGGGUAUCGAACAGGAUUAGAUACCCUGGUAGUCCGCGCAGUAAAC
Molecule: ribosomal RNA, 818 nt
Filed under: uncultured bacterium
Lineage: Bacteria
Description: bacterial SSU rRNA
Rfam family: Bacterial small subunit ribosomal RNA
Source: RNAcentral